Long non-coding RNA from Arachis ipaensis, 1263 nucleotides. RefSeq lists it as uncharacterized. The record is from RefSeq and is a predicted model, not a curated record. NCBI's taxonomy places the organism in Eukaryota, Viridiplantae, Streptophyta, Magnoliopsida, Fabales, Fabaceae.
AAAACGGCGUUGUUUUUUUGCGUUUUGGUUAAAAGAAGAAGACCCAAAUUCUAGUCGUCAGUCAGAGGAAACCCUUGCCCUCCCCUCGAGCCUCAUUUCUGAUUCCUCAGACUCAGUGUUAUUUCUCCCCAAAAUACAAACCUAGCCUCAGCGCGCCGCCGUUGGUCUGACCGUUGCCGGCGGGUUCGUCGUGGUCGGUUGACAAUCCUCCUGUUUCCAAGUGGCCGAAGGCCCUUCCAUUCCCCCGACGCAAGGGUCUCCAGGUCAUGGUCGGUCGUCGUCUGGCGGUCGUGUGCGUGGCCAGGUCGUCGUCGUCCGUCCCCUGCUCGGUUGUGACCGUCGCCAGCUGCCCAUCUGCUGUGGCUGUCCCACAAAUCUGUUGCUACGGCACAGGCAUCUGGUUCUUUGUUUCCGCGCUGGUGUCCCCGUUCUUCUUCCUCUCUGCAUUAUCAUUUAGCCAGUCCCCACCGCGGAGGUUAAUCGUGCCAGCUGCCACGACCCCUGCUCAACUGCUCCUUCCCCUAUUCCGAAGCUCAGGAACAUAUUAACGAAGGCUGAGGUUCUGAAAUUGAAUUUAUUGGUCACUGACUAGUUUGGUUAUUGUUCUGGUCAUCACUGAUGGUAUUGUCGUCUUGUUCUGAAUAUCAAUAAACUGAUUAUUUGCUCUAAUUAAAACGUUUUUGUGGUAAGCUGUUAUUACAUUGAUUGAUGUGGUUAUUGUUGAUGUACACGAGGGAAUGUGGUGUUGAUGUUGUGUAUGGGAAUGGGGUUUGCGUUAGGUACUAUGGUUGUUAAUUUUUUACUGUGAUAUUGAAAUUGUAAGCCAUUGUUGUUGUGAUUUGUAAUUACUUUGCAUGUGCUUUUGGCUUUUUAGAAAAUUGGCUAUGGCGAUGGUUAGUUUAGCAUUAGAAAGAAGAGAAGUAUGUUUGAGUGGAUUGAACGCAUCCUCCUUGCCUUUGGAUUCCUUUUUGAUCUAAACGUCAAAGUAAACCUGCUUUUACAAGGAGUUAUAAAUUGCUACUUCUCAAAAGUGGAGGCUUCAAAAGCGUAAAACGAAACCAUUGGUGCCAAAAAUGUGCUUGCUUCAAUGACAUUCUAUGACCAAAACUGAUUGUAUAGUAUUAUGAUACUUAAUGCUUUCUAUUUUUUUUACCUUGUUAAUAACAGAUACUAAUAUUAUUUUUCUGUUUGUAAUUUUUAGAAUCAAUAACAAUACGUGACCUUUGUGUAAAUUAAAUUAGAUAAUUAAAAAAUUUAGAUACU